CUUUAGGUGCCCUCCUCAAGAUAACGUCAUUUAAAGAGCGAUGGUCUGCACAACGUAAAAAAAACCAGAAUAAAAUCGGAGGAACCUGCCGUAGAUGAGCCCAUUACAGCUCGCCUAUAGGUGUCCUCCUCGGGAUAGCGUCAUUUAAAGAACGAGGGUCAGCACGAUGUA
This is a non-coding RNA of Arachis ipaensis, 171 nucleotides long. Lineage: Eukaryota; Viridiplantae; Streptophyta; Magnoliopsida; Fabales; Fabaceae. The record is from RefSeq and is a predicted model, not a curated record.